UGUCUUUCAUGUCGCUGUCACCUCUCUUUCAGGUCUCCUGACUUCCCACCAUGUGAUGCAAUGAUCAUCUUGCUGGAUUUCUGUGAUGAGAGAGGGAUGCUGUGGUAUAGAAUAAACAUGGAAAUGGGUCUUGGGAAAUUC
Molecule: long non-coding RNA, 141 nt
Organism: Homo sapiens (human)
Lineage: Eukaryota; Metazoa; Chordata; Mammalia; Primates; Hominidae
Source: Ensembl